CGCGGCGUUAACUCGAUUGCGAGCGGAUAAGCGCGAGGGCCGAGGAAUAUCCGCCCCGCAGCCGAGAAUAUUCCGGUUCCUAUAAAUCUGCCGUUACUGCAGUUGGCUCCUCCGUUCUACUCUCUACUCCACUCUCUCCAGCCCUGGCAGCCCGCAGCUUCCGCGAAGCUUCCUCCUCCCCCGAUGAGAUCAUCUCCGCCGCCGGCUGGCUAUAUAUAUAAGAGGAGGAGUCUCGCCGACGACGACGACGGCCACGCGAGUAAAAAAAAAAUACGGCUUGGCUUGCCGUUAAAUCUGGUCUCCACAGGUGGGGGUCCUAGCGAGGUCACCGUCGGCCGUGUCAUGCAUGGCUGGAGGGUGAAGUCCGAAGACAUCCAUCCGGCUACGACGACGGCGGCGGGGGCAGCAAGGUGAGCGAGUAGAGGGUGGAGGAAGGUGUGUUUGGGGGUAGCAGGGGUGGUGACCGGUGAGGCCGGCGGUGAGAGGCGAUCUCCCUGGUCGCCGCAAGCUGUGAUGCUCGCGGGCCGCGGGGGGAGGCGGGCCCUGCCGACGUGCGUGGUGGAGACUGGAGAGGAAGCAGUCUGAGCCUGUGAAGGAACAGAGCAUCCCGGAAGGCUAAAGGAAUUUGGAAGGGGAGGGCCCUGUCCUGAUUUCGGUUUCACUUGGUCCGACAAUGCUUCAACAAAACAGGUACAUGUUUUCUGUAGAAAAAAGGGCACGUUUUGGACCAGCUUAACCAUCAAGGAUUUGCCACCACGGCCCUACUCUACCAUCGCCGUUGCUGCCUGACUUUGUCGUUGCUCCAAUAAAAUCCAAAACGUGCUGAUUUUUCGAAAAGAUAACAUGAACCUAGAGACAAAGAAUGGACAAAAAUCCAAUUGAAAGCUUCAUACGAAGGGAAAACGUAAGAAAGUUUUGUGACCUGAGCCGUGUGUACAGGGCUCUAUCUCAAAACUCUUUUAUGUUUCUCCUUGGUAAGAAUUUUUCCAUUGGUUUAUUUGUCCUUCAGGGCCAUGAGUAACUGAAGUCAGGAUAGGGUUCUCCCUUUUCGAAUUCUUGUCACGGAAUGGCAACAUCGUCCACCAAAUAAAUAAAGGUGUCUGUUUAUUACAUUUGUGCUUAUGCUCGAGUGUGGAAACUGAAGCUACCGACCUGUUGAACUGGGUCAAGUUUCAAGUCUUUAUCUAUGUGAUAUGUAUGUAAAACUGUUCCUCGUGCUACCUUUUUCCAGGCCGUGUUGUGUCAAUUAAAAUGGUGAAGGCUGUGUCAUGUGAUACUUAUAAUUUUUUUGUCCUUGACCAUGCUGAUUGGUUUCGCUAUGGACAUCGAUAUCCAGUCUGGUCCGUGGUGGCUAUCCUUUGAGAUUUGAAUGGUCUGAUUAGUCAGAGAUUCCGAGAUCUGAUUAUGUUAUGUGGCAGCAUAAGUUCAUUCAUUCACUAUCACAGACAUGUCAUUUAGUGCUGGUUUCAAAAGCCUUUCAGUGUCAGGUUUCCGACCGGCUGUGAUUGAUCGGCACUGAAAGUCACCUCAAAUCACUGUCGGUUGUACAACCGGUAUUGAAAGUAGUUUUCAGAGAGAAAAAAAAAGAGUAAACUUGAGCUGGCUCGUCUGCCGCCGCCGCCGCGCCCGCAAUGACUGCACCGUCUGCUCCUCCUUCAACCUCCUCCUAUGCUCCAGUCGCCGCUUGAUGCGGUGCUCCCGCCGUCGCCAUCGCCACGUGCAUACUCAAAUCGACUCAUCUUAUCCAUACGAACACAAGCACAAAUCGACUUAUCUCAUUCAUACGAACACAAGCACAAAUUGACUUAUUUUAUUCAUACAAACACAUGCACAAAUCAACUCAUCUCAUCUCAAACACAAGAAUAUAAUCAAAACAAAGUGAAGUAGGCAUCCGACCCGGAGCAGCCAUCGGUCCCCGACCGGCCUUAGAAGCCCUUCAGCCCAUGCGUUGUGGUAUGGCGCGACUCCUCGCAGCUGCUCUUCGGCUCUCCCCACUGGUGCGCUCCAGCUCUGUUCGCGGCGUGAAGGCGACUCCCUUCAGCACCCCUCCACCGGCCACCUGGUUCGUGGGUCAUCGUGCAUGCAGCGUAGCAGCUUGCUCACUGCGACGUAUGUAUGGUGGUCAUGAACACGAACUCACGAUUCAAAAACGGACUAGCGAAUUGACUUGGUGCUUACCUCGCUGCGUGAAGAGAGAGGAAUGAAGAGAACGAGUGAGGUCUAGUCAUCUGGACGGGCUUGAGCUUUUAACGGGAUCCAUGGAGGCAGUGACGGAAGAGAGAGAGAGAGAGAGGGAGAGAUCAAGAGAGGUUGGAUGAACGAAGAGAUAAAAGUGAGGUCUGAACGGGUGUGGUCGAGUGGCUAUCCAUCAUGAGGAUAAUGAGUGGAUUCUGUGAGUCAGACGUAAACAAAAUGAGCCAAAACAGGACUGUAUAAAACUCUCAGGUCUGAAGCAAGUUUCAGUGUCGGUUCUUAUUAACAACCGGCACUGAUACUAUCAGUGUCAGUUUGUAUUAAAGUAUCAGUGCUGGUUCAACCCAGUUCAAUCGAUGAUCGAGCGCGGGAUGUUACACAUCGGCACUGAUACUUCAUUAGUGUUGGUUCUAGUUUAACUGGCACUGAUGAGCCGACACGGAUGACUAGUUCUGUUGUAGUGCUUCUUGUUUCUUAGGCAAGAACUAACUAUUUCUGAUUGCAACUGUUGUGUGCUCUUUUUUUAUCACACUUCCUAAUCUUUAGGAGUUCGAAAUCGGGCACUCGAGUUCAUGUGACCAUGUGAACAUCAACGAGUUUAGGGGAGAGGUUACGGUCAGGGGUUUUAGGGUUCAUCAGUGAUUCUAGGGGUUAUAGUGAGGCGGUGAGUUGCGGCGUGGCGGUACGAUGCGGUGAGGCAGCGGUGGAACCGCUGGAUCCAUGAGUGGUGGGUGGGAUUGGCAGCAGGGGAGCUCAAAAUUAGAUUGGUGAGCUCGAAAUUAGAUUGGUUAGCGAGGAAGGAGCGGUGGCGGUGGAUCCAACGGUGGAGAAGCCACCAGAGAGGGCAAGAGGAGAGGCUAGAACUACAGAACCCCAUAUAAUAGUCGCCACCUUCAAUGCCGGUUCAAAGGAACCAGUACUGAAAGAGGUAUCAGUGCCGGUUCUAAUAACAAACCGGCACUAAUAGUGGUAUUUCAGUGCCGGUUUCUCUUUAAACCGGCACUGAAAGACUGCUACAGUAUAUAUAGCCCAUCUUCUUCCCCGUCUCGACCCAGAACAGAGCCGCCGCUGCCGCAACCCAGUGUUACAGUGCCUCCUUGCCAUUUUUUUGGGCGAUUCAAGGUUUUUUUUUUGCGUGGGAGCCUUCAAAAUUUGGAGGAGUCAACUGUUUUAAAGUUAGUGAGAUCUAUAUUUCAUUUUUGGAUAGAUUACUUGGUAAAUUGCUCUAGGGUUGAUGAUGGAUGGUGUUUGUUCCAUGGUUAUGGAUUUAGAGAUGUAGUUGAAAUCUAAUUUAGGUAAAGUUUGCAACUUUGUCAUUGUUAGAUGUAUAGAGAUGAUCUAAAUUUGAUUCUUAGUUGGAUUUUAGUUGUUAGAUUUCUCUAGGUUUGAAUUUCGGUGGUUGUUAGUUAGUGUUGAAAUUUGAAAUGAGCAAGAGCUCAAAUAUCCAUAUAAAUUAGAGAAAGGUCGCAAUCUUAUCAUUCUAGAUGAUUUAACGAGUUGCAACUUUGCAAUUUGUUGAACCAUUAUUGCCAUUCAAAAAUUACAAAAAUAUCGCUAGAACUGUCAUUCGAGUGGCAUCAAAAGAAUAAAAAAUCAGGGAGGUAUUUGUAAAAUAUCUCUAAAAUCUAGCUCUAAUUUUCUGGUAUGUGGAUUGCGUAUAUUUUUAAAGUCAUGAAUUUUAAUAAUAAUCUAAUGAAUUUCCUCUGUUAAUUAAUCAGCAUACUGAAUUUAACAUGUACAGUCCAUAAAAUACUAUGUUGUAGGGAUGGCACAUCCACCCACGGGUCGCAAUCAGACUCGGCAGCCUUUGGAAGGCGGGUCCCCCGACCCGGCCCAAGUACCGGAAGGAGAUGGGUCCUCAAAUAGGGACCAAUCAGGAUGCGAGAUAGACCGGUCAUGGAUGUACAAGGAACGAGGGCCAUAGUUCAUUGUUGGCAUCGAGGCUUUUUUAGGCUGCCGCGGCGUACAAGAAGCCAAAAGGGAAGCAUGACGAGCACUAUAUAUGCUGUCCGUGUGUCGACUGCAAGAAUGAGAAGCAGUUUUCAAACAUAGAGCAGAUCCGUGCACACUUGAUUCGCAGGGGUUUUAAGGCUGGCUACACCCUUUGGACUGAGCACGGUGAACUUGCAGAUGUUGGGCGUGAAGGGCAACCAACAGUCGAAAGUGACGGAGUCAACGAUCCGAUGGCUAACGAAGACUUUGAUAUGUUGACAUUUGAAGAUACUUUUGUCGAGAACGAUGAUCGGGACAGUUUUGUUGGCAACAAUGAAGAAGGCAUAGAACAAAUGUUGCGCGAUGGGGAGGGGGACUUCACCAUUGAAAGACAACAUCAAAAGUACCAGCGCAUGAUAGAGGACUCUAAAACACCAGUUUACCCGAACUGUAAAGAUGAGCAUAGCAAGUUGCAUGUGGUGCUGACACUGAUGUAAAUGAAGGCUAGCAAUGGUUGGGCCGAUAAGGGUUUCAAUGAAUUGUUAGAAUUCUUGAGGGAAUUACUUCCAUAGGGUAACGCGUUGCCCGAAAACACGUACCAUGCCAAGCAGGUUGUUUGCCCGUUGGGAUUGGAAGUAGAGAAAAUACAUGCAUGUGGAAACGACUGCAUGUUGUUCCGCGGUGAGGAUGCAGACUUGGAAGCGUGUCGCGUUUGCAAUGCACUGCGGUACAAGAGCAGCGUUGAUGAUAUUGAGAGCGAUGGCGUAGGGGUGAAGAGAAAGGAGAAAAGACCCCCAUUAAGGUGGCUUGGUAUUUCCCUAUAGUCCCCCGUUUGAAGCGAUUGUUUGCUAACAGAGCGAAUGCCGAGUUAAUGCGAUGGCACGCCGAACAGCGCAAGAAAGAUGGAAUGCUUAGACACCUUGCUGAUGGCAUGCAAUGGAGGAGAUUCGAUUCGAAAUACAAGGAAUUCAGAGAUGAAGUGAGGAAUAUAAGGUUCGGGUUGAGCACGGAUGGGAUGAAUCCUUUCGGCAACACGAGAAGUACUCAUAGCACUUAGCCUGUGACUCUCUCUAUCUACAACAUUUCACCUUGGAUGUGCAUGAAGCGAAAGUACCUUAUGAUGCCUCUACUGAUUAGUGGGCUGAAUCAACCAGGCAACGAUAUCGAUGUGUACCUCAAACCAUUGGUGGAAGAUCUUCUUGUACUGUGGAAAGAUGGCGUACGAGUAUGGGAUGAGUACAGACGCGAGAAUUUCACCCUACGCGCGAUGCUGUUCGUGACGAUUUUAGAUUGGCAUGCUCUUGGUAACCUAUCAGGGCAGACUGUAAAAGGGUACAAUGGAUGUGUUCAGUGCUUGGAGGAAACGGAGGGGCGGUGGCUAAAAAACAGCCAGAAAAUGAUCUUCAUGGGUCACCGUAGGUUCCUCCGUCCGGAUCACCCAUACCGCAAGAAUAAAAGAGCUUUUGACGGGACAAUGGAGCUUUCGUCAAGCUCCGAAGAUUCGCAAUGGAGAACAGGUAUUUAAGAUGGUUAAUACACUCAGAGUUGUACUUGGAAAGGGGCUAGGCAGUACAAAAAUGCAGGCUGGGCAAAAUGCUCCUAUGUGGAAAAAGAUGUCAAUAUUUUGGUUGCUACCUUUUUGGAAGUAUCUUAUGGUCCGACACGCAAUCGACGUCAUGCACGUGGAGAAGAAUGUGUUUGAUAGCUUGAUUAGUACCUUACUAGACAUACCAGGCAAAACAAAAGAUACACUAAAUGCACGGCUGGACCUGGAAGAAAUGAACCUCAGGAAGGAUCUACACUACAUACAAUUAGACAACGGCAAAAAGAAACUUCCCGCAGCUUGCUACACUAUGAGCAAGGAAGAGAUGAUCCGCCUGUGUGGUUGCUUGCGUGAUGUCAAAGUUUCGACCGGUUACUCCUCCAAUAUCAGGAACUUUGUAAACAUGAAAGAUACGAAGUUAGUUGGCAUGAAGUCUCAUGAUUGUCACGUGAUGAUGACGCAGAUGCUUCCAGUUGCAAUUCGAGGUAUUCUGCCAGAUAAGGUCCGAGACCCAAUCAUUAAGCUGUGUUCGUUCUUUAACGCAAUUUCACAGAAGGUCAUUGAUCCGAACAAACUGGCAAAGCUGCAGGAAGACGUGGUCCAUACUAUAUGUCAGUUUGAGACUAUUUUCCCUUCGACAUUUUUUGAUAUGAUGCCCUAUCUAAUUGUUCACAUUGUGGGUGAGAUAAAGAGCAUUGGCCCCGUGUUUCUGCAUCAGAUGUAUCCUUUCGAAAGGUUCAUGGGGGUUCUGAAGAAAUAUGUUCGUAACCGAGGUCGUCCGGAAAGUUGCAUUGCCCAAGGGUGGAGUACGGAGGAGGUUAUUGAGUUUUGCAUUGACUAUAUGAAACUGGACGCGAUUGGUAAGCCUAUAUCUCGCGAUGAGGGGAGGCUAAAGGGGAAAGGGACGAUAGGUCAUACUUCAAUCCAUAUCAAAGAUCGUGCUUCAUUCACUCAAGCACACUUCGCAAUUCUGCAACAGGUAGUUGUAGUGAUCUCGUAUGUCAAAAUGCAUGUGAGCAUGCUACGCUCCACAAAUCCAACGAAGUCAGAUGAUUGGAUCGCAAAAGAGCACAGAGAUAAUUUCGGUAAUUGGUUACGUCAACACAUGAUGGGUAAGGAUACCGACGAUGCUCUGUUGGAACUGCUGGCAAAUGGCCCGUCAACUACGAUUCGCACAUUCCAAGCAUACGAGAUUAACGGCUAUACAUUUUAUACGCGAGCACAAGACAACAAGAGCACUAACCAAAAUAGUGGUGUCCGUACUGAUGCCUGUGACCGCGCUGGCAACAGGGAGACCUACUAUGGAUUCAUAGAGGAAAUUUGGGAACUUGAAUAUGACGAGUUGAUGGUCCCUCUGUUUCGGUGCCAAUGGGUCAGACUCACAGGGGGAGUCAAGGUCACAAGUACGGUAUGACUAUCGUGGACCUCAAGGAGGAGCGUCACGUGGUUCUUCAAGGAAAAAGAAAAAUCGUCGGUGUUGAGAAUGUUGUCGACGACGAAGACUGCGACAAAUUCGAAGACCUGCCCCCUUUUGGAGAGAAUGUCGAACAAAGCACAUUAAUGCAUUUAUUUUGUCAAACAAAGCACAUUAUAAGAAUUAAUUUGCUGGAAAAUCAAGUAUCAGUGCCGAUUAUAUGUACAACCUGAAGUAUCAGUGCCGGUUGUACAUACAACCGGCAUUGAUACGUCUCCUAUAUUUAUCUCCAACACUUAGCCGCAUCCUUGUUCCUCUAUUCACCCUAGCGCUACCUUCCUCGUUUGCUUCAGUCACCCGAGCCUCGACGCGCCGUCGCCUCCUCCCGACGCCACCCCGACGCGCCGCCGCCUCCUCCCGACGCCGAUUUGUCCCCGAGCCCUCGCCGUCGUCACCCCCCACGGAGGAGGAGCCGCCGCCGCCCUUGACGCCGACGCCGAGGACCACCUCUCCUGCUCUGCUCUCCUCCAUCCCCUUCAAGCCCAACGGGUAAGCACCAUCCCGUCCUCCCCAAUGAAAUUUGUGAUAAGGAUGGAAGAAUUUGGGAGAAAUAGAGGAACUACGAACUAGGGUUCUAUAGCUUAGUGCUAUGAAAAUUCAAGUGACUGGAUUACCUAAAUACAUGUGAAAAAUGUGAAGUUCAAAUAUACAUAUAUGCGAGACUAUUUUUGUUUUGUGAAAUGUGAGCUGUUUGGAGAUAUUGAGCCCCUUUGGUUUGAAAACUGUUGAGCUCCAGAGAGUAUCAAUUUAAGUUGAUAGUGCCAUUGUUGUUGAUCCAUUAGGGAGGUUGAGUGUUCAUCCAAUUUUUGUCCAUGGCCAUCCUGUCUAAUUGUAUUCUGUCAUGGAAGGAUGAAUUGUUUAGUAAAAUACAGUUCGACGAUAGGUUCUUGAAGAAGAAAUAAAACUGGUAGAUAACUAUGCUUUCAUUGCAGUCGUGCAAUUUUGCAACAAUUUGUGUGUUUAUGGUCUGACAUCAAACUUCUGCAUUUAUCUGGGUUUACGGUGUGCAAAUUGGCAAAUGUCCUAAAAAAGAAAGUACCUGAAUUUGUGUUGCAGCAGGAACUUGCAUAUAUGUAUCAAUUUAAGUUGAUAGUGCCAUUUUUGUUGAUCCAUUAGGGAGGUUGAGUGUAGAUGUUAUGUGCUGCAAUGAUCUGUAAUCCUUCGGUACAUGUAUAAUUAUACAAACAUUUAUAUUGUAAUUCAUGAUUCGAAGUUAACUAGUGCAAGCUCUGUUGGCAAAUAUGAUUCUUUUAUGAAGGCUACGGUGUUGGAAUUCGCUCAUGUUUCCUUUGUCAUGAUUACCUUGUAGUCUAGUUUUGGUAUGAGAUCCAACUCCUCCACGGUCGGCGCCAGUGCCACCGUCACCAGGAAGAGAUCCAACUCCUCCACUGUCGCCGCCACUGCCACCGUCACCGAGAAGAGAGCCGACUCCUCCCCCACGCAAGUCACCAACAAGAGAGUCAACUCCUCCCCCUCCAAAGUCCGCAACAGUGCCACCAAGGGAGCCAACACCUCCCCCUCCAAAGUCCGCAACAGUGCCACCAAGGGAACCAACACCUCCCCCUCCGAAGUCAGCACCAGUGCCUCCAAGUGAGCCGACUUCUCCUCCUCCGAAGUCAGCAACACUGCCACCAAAAUUGCCAACUCCUCUGAAGUUGACAACACGUUCUCAGUCUAAGAAGGUGGCAGCACCUGAGAAGUUGCCUUAUGAAAGAACUGCAGAGGAAAACAGAGCGAUAGUGAACGCCGAAGUCAAGAAUUUUUUUAAAAAGCGAGAGCCUGAGAAGAAUAAACCACUCACUGAAGAAACGAAAAAGUUUCUCUUGACGCUGAGCAAACCUGCUGUGGUUAAGCGUCAAUCAGACUACGAGCGUAUCAAAGGAAAGAAAUCCUUGAGGCAGGCUUCUAUUGAUCAGGUACGGGAAGAACAACAACUAGAAAGAUUCCUUAAGGAUGCCAAUAUGACAAAAGAGUAAUUUUUUAACGAGUUCGUGGCACCCAAAGCAGUCAAGAGAUGGCAAUUUAAGCUGGGCGAACUAUUGGUCGCGCCGGACGAGUGGGCCAAACUGACAUAUCAACUUUGAAAAUUUCAUGUGUGGUACAUGAAUGAGUCGAAGGAGGGUAGGGAAAGUUUCGAGGCCAGAUUCAAGGAACAAGAUCUCCUCCACGGGGACGGCAGUAUUUUUAUAUUCUUCGAGAAAAUUUAUCGACUGUACCAGUAUGAUGUCCUCGACGUGUCUAUCUUGAGUUGUUGGACUCUAAUGGAGGUACAAAGAUGCAGAAAGGAGUGCAUCAUGCAUGUGGGAUUUAUCGACCCAUAUCUUGUUAACCCGACAAUGAUGAAAUCUACCGACCUAAAGAAAACCGAGGACUAUGUAUUGAAGUGUCUUCUGGAGCUACAAUUGAAGAAAUACAUACUUUUACCCUACCACUAGGGGUAUGUGUUUCUACUCUUUUUAGCAAUACAUCGUUAGAAAUUAGGACCAACUAACCUAUAGUGACCUAUGUACAGUUUUCACUGGAUCCUUCUUGUCAUCCAGUCAGAUAUUAGUAAGAUCUUUAUUUUUGACUCACAAGAUAAUCCGAAAGAAACCUACCAACCCGUCAUUGACUUGCUACAAAGGUAAAAACCGACCAUUUCGUUACUGCUAUUGUAAUAUUUGAUUUGAUUGAAUCUAAGUCUACUUACAGUAAUAAUCACACACAUACAGAGUGUACCCACGAUACACCAAGAAGAGCGUUAGAUACAGGCCAUACACGAAAGAAUGGACAGUCCGACAUGGCUUUCCUUGUAGGAAGUAGGGUCCGGGCAAUAAUUUAUGUGGUUUUUAUGUAAUGGAAUUUAUGCAUAGCUUCAACACAGAGGAUUCGAUCCUGCCGAAAGAUCCUGAGGUAGACGGUAUACACAUUGAUGACUAAUUUUCAGGUUCAAUACGUCAAAAUCAUAUGUAUUGAUUUAUUCAAUUCUUCAAAUUGCAGAUCCUCGAGCUGUCCAAAGAACGUCUCAUGUCUCAUGAAAUCAACGCGCUUCAAGAACAACUUGUCGGGUUUAUCAAUGAUGAAAUCAUCAAUCCAACCGGCGAGUUCCAUGAAAUUGGAUUGUCUUUCUCGUUACCUUCAACCCAUAAAAAGGGCAGAGUUCAGAUCCAUCGGUUCACAAGAAAUCUUAAACUCCAUAAGAUUAUUGUAAUGAAACUUGAUAAGUAUGCGGUGUAUAUAUAUUGUGAUGAGACUUAAUUUUUUAUAAAUAAAAUUUA
Molecule: RNA transcript, 10399 nt
Organism: Phragmites australis (common reed)
Lineage: Eukaryota; Viridiplantae; Streptophyta; Magnoliopsida; Poales; Poaceae
Exons: 5
Source: RefSeq, a predicted model, not a curated record